Molecule: ribosomal RNA, 478 nt
Filed under: uncultured bacterium
Lineage: Bacteria
Description: partial 16S ribosomal RNA
Rfam family: Bacterial small subunit ribosomal RNA
Source: RNAcentral
GAUGAACGCUGGCGGCGUGCUUAACACAUGCAAGUCGAGCGAUGAAGUUCCUUCGGGAAUGGAUUAGCGGCGGACGGGUGAGUAACACGUGGGUAACCUGCCUCAUAGAGGGGAAUAGCCUUUCGAAAGGAAGAUUAAUACCGCAUAAGAUUGUAGUAUCGCAUGAUACAGCAAUUAAAGGAGUAAUCCGCUAUGAGAUGGACCCGCGUCGCAUUAGCUAGUUGGUGAGGUAACGGCUCACCAAGGCGACGAUGCGUAGCCGACCUGAGAGGGUGAUCGGCCACACUGGGACUGAGACACGGCCCAGACUCCUACGGGAGGCAGCAGUGGGGAAUGUUGCACAAUGGGGGAAACCCUGAUGCAGCAACGCCGCGUGAGUGAUGACGGUCUUCGGAUUGUAAAACUCUGUCUUCAGGGACGAUAAUGACGGUACCUGAGGAGGAAGCCACGGCUAACUACGUGCCAGCCGCCGCCGUAA